RNAcentral lists this ribosomal RNA (1074 nucleotides) under Triticum aestivum (bread wheat). RNAcentral describes it as "partial small subunit ribosomal RNA". Lineage: Eukaryota; Viridiplantae; Streptophyta; Magnoliopsida; Poales; Poaceae. The record is from RNAcentral.
AUGCAUAUCAUAGGGAGAAGAGCAUUGGUGAGAAAUGUCCUAUCUGCAAUACCAACUUUUGCUCUCUCUGUCCUUCGGCCGCCAAAGCUUCUUUUCAAAGAGAUCGAUAAAGCUCGUAGAAAGUUUCUUUGGGCACAAGAGGAGGAGCUCAGUGGUGGCAAGUGCAAGGUCGCCUGGAGAAAUGUCUGCACACCCACUGAACAUGGAGGCCUUGGCAUCCAUGACCUGCAGAAAUUCUCCCGCGCCCUGCGCCUUCGGUGGUUGUGGCUGUCAUGGCAAAAUGAGGACAAACAUUGGAAGGGAUCAGAGCUACCGUGUGACAAGGAGGACAAGGAAAUGUUUGACAAUGCAACCACUGUAACCAUCGGAAACGGCAGAACAGCUUCCUUUUGGCAAUCGCCAUGGAUCACCUCUCCAAGCCUUGCCAUCCUGUUCCCGAAGCUGUUCAAGAGAUCACGAGGAAAAAACAAGUGCGUUGCCGACGCGCUUGAAAAUGAUAAGUGGGUGCUGGACAUCAAGAUACGCCCCAACGAACAACUGAUUCACAGUUUCAUCAUCCUCUGGAGAGCUCUACGGGCCCAACCGGUGUCUCUGCAACUCCAGGUGGAAGAUAAAAUCUCCUGGCAUCUUCACAGUGCUGGCGUAUACAGCGCAAAAUCAGGUUACAAGGCACAAUUCAGAAACCUACCGAAGACAGAGGAUAAGCAAAUCAUAUGGAAAACUUGGGCACCCGGAAACAUAAAGGUUUUCUUCUGGCUACUGCUCAAAAACCGGCUCUGGAGCAAUGAUAGGCUCCAACGCAGAGGCUGGGAGAACGGGUACUUCUGCACUUUAUGCACAAGAAACCUAGAGACAUCAGUGCAUAUUUUUUGGGAUUGCCUGGUCAGUAAGGAGAUAUGGAGAAGGAUCUCAGCCUGGAAUGACUGCGCCAGGCUCAUGCGCAUCGCCUCAUCCUCAGAUCACCUCACCUCCUCCAUUUGCAGAAUGCGCAAUCUCAUCAAACAAUCAAGGCCAAGACUCAGAGAAAGGCUCAAGACGAUGAUCUUCCUUGUCACAUGGCACAUCUGGAAGGAG